UAUAGUUUUUAAGAAAUAAAAUUAAAAAAAUCAUGUAAUACUACAUCAGUGUUAUGUUAUUGUAUGACUUCAUCUUUUAUACAGUCGGGUUCGGGGUUUCGGGCAGCCAUAGCGAAUUUCGGCAAGAUUUUACCCCAGUGAAAAAGGCUUGUAAUCCACAGUGAUCAGCUAAGAUGUUGUUUCACUGGAUUAUUUAAUUGGGCAUAUAAUUGGACAAUUCUGGAUCAGUUGAUAUGUAAUCAAUCACUGGAUUAUUUAAUGCAUAGGCUAAUUGGGCAUAUAGUUGAAAAUCUCUGGUAAGUUUGUCUUGUUUUUUUAAUUGUUUAUACAUUUCCUAUGAUGGUCAUCUUUGCAUUUAAGCAUGAUUAUAUGGUUAAAUUUAUUACUGUAUAAUACUUAUGUGAUCUGAUAUCUCUAACUUACAUUCAUAUAAACACACCCUUAUUUAACCUAAAAUAUAUUAACCCAUGAUUAAGGGAUCUUCAGAAUAUUAAUAAGUCCUUUUGUAUAAAUUAUAUGAUAUAAUUUCAUAAUUCAUUAUGUAUGUUACCCAUGGCCAUGGAAUUCAGACUUACUAAAUGGUGAUCAAAGAGAUAUUAAUUAGGAAUCUAAUAAGAGAAA
Molecule: long non-coding RNA, 621 nt
Organism: Saccostrea cuccullata (small rock oyster)
Lineage: Eukaryota; Metazoa; Mollusca; Bivalvia; Ostreida; Ostreidae
Exons: 3
Source: RefSeq, a predicted model, not a curated record